GAUGAACGCUGGCGGCGUGCCUAAUACAUGCAAGUCGAGCGAACAGAUAAGGAGCUUGCUCCUUUGACGUUAGCGGCGGACGGGUGAGUAACACGUGGGUAACCUACCUAUAAGACUGGGAUAACUUCGGGAAACCGGAGCUAAUACCGGAUAAUAUUUCGAACCGCAUGGUUCGAUAGUGAAAGAUGGUUUUGCUAUCACUUAUAGAUGGACCCGCGCCGUAUUAGCUAGUUGGUAAGGUAACGGCUUACCAAGGCGACGAUACGUAGCCGACCUGAGAGGGUGAUCGGCCACACUGGAACUCAGACACGGUCCAGACUCCUACGGGAGGCAGCAGUAGGGAAUCUUCCGCAAUGGGCGAAAGCCUGACGGAGCAACGCCGCGUGAGUGAUGAAGGUCUUCGGAUCGUAAAACUCUGUUAUUAGGGAAGAACAUACGUGUAAGUAACUGUGCACGUCUUGACGGUACCUAAUCAGAAAGCCACGGCUAACUACGUG
RNAcentral lists this ribosomal RNA (497 nucleotides) under uncultured bacterium. RNAcentral describes it as "partial 16S ribosomal RNA". It matches the Rfam family "Bacterial small subunit ribosomal RNA", at positions 28 to 507 of the family's 1533-position model. The record is from RNAcentral.